CAAUACUAAUUUUAUAGGUGUACUUUUGAGGUAUGUUAUAAGGUAAAAUUUGGAAUUGUGAGGGACCGAGAAGCCAAGAACAAGGAACACAAGCGUUGCGCAAACAAAUGGGUCUUUAUUUGAACCCAAAACAAAAUAACUUUACACACUUACAACAAAAAUAAACAAACAAAAACCGAGAUCAAACAAUUAGACAAAAACCAAACAAACAAACUAAAACUGACCUCCUCAAAUGAACAAAGCAACAGUUUAUAAAGGAAGGGAUGGGCCCAUUACAAAUUAAGAGGGGAAACAAUUUAACUUUACAUACAACAUAUAACCUCACAUAAAUCAAAAUCAAAUCAAACAAAGAUACAUUGUAAAUAAAGACAAGGAAAGCAAAAUGUAAUCAAAUAUCAUAAAUGUACAACUAAAUAAAUCAAUUAGUAACACAUCAACGUUCCUUCCUCCCCCCAGAAACUCCCAGUGAAUGGUACGCCCAGACGGAACCAAUAAGCUUAAAUAUGGUGUUCCUGCCGGACUCUUGUUUUUCGUCACACCAGGAUGCGGCUGCAACGGACCAUGGCUGAAGUUGAUCACCGAAACUCCCAGUGAAUGGUACGCCCAGACGGAACCAAUAAGCUUAAAUAUGGUGUUCCUGCCGGACUCUUGUUUUUCGUCACACCAGGAUGCGGCUGCAACGGACCAUGGCUGAAGUUGAUCACCGGUAAACUUAAACUCAAAAUAGAAACAAAUAUAAAUAACAGAUACAACAUAACUAAUUUGUGUGCACUUCAAAUCAGUCACAAUGCAUUGUGAAUGUAAAUGUAAACUUAUGCAAACCUAACAAUAAAUAGAGAAUGAAUGAAUGAAUUGUGUUUCCUGUGGUUACUUAUGCGAUCAUACUGAAACAAAUGAAAAUAAAUAAGAAGUUUAAAUAAGCUCAUUCUGAAAUGAAUGUCCUUCGUAUAACUAUAUGUAUGCAUGUGUGUGUGCGCUGGAUACAUCCACUUUACCGCUCUUGUGCGGCCACCACUCGGGCCGUCACAGGAAUUAUUAACAUUUUUAAUGUUUUUGAUAGACAUCUCGUAUGCUCAUAAAGCCUGCAUUUAUAUGAUCAAAAAUACAGAAAAAAAUAAAUAUUGUGAAAUAUUAUUACAAUUUAAAACAAUGAUUUUCAAUUUUAAAAUAUUUUAAACUAAUUUAUUCCUGUGAUGCCCAGCUGAAUUUUUCAGCAUCAUUACUGCAGUCUUCAGUGUUACAUGAUCUUCAGAAAUCAUUCUCAUAUGAUGAUUUUCAGUUAUUAUCAAUGUUGGAAACAGUUGUAAUGCUUAAUAUUUUGUGAUAAUGUAAACCUGUAAUAUUGUUUUCAGGAUUCAUUGAUAAAUAAAAAUAGUAAAAGAACAGCAUUUAUUAAAAAUAGAAAUAUAUUCCAACAAUGUCUUUACUGUUGCUUUUUUUUAAUCAAUUUAACACAACCUUGCUAAAUAAAAGUAUUAAUUGUUAAAAAAAUAAGAUUCCAAACUUUGAAUGGUAGUGUAUAUUGUUACAAGUUAUUUCUAUUUUAAAUAAAUGCUGUUCUUUUUUAUUAUUUUAGGGUCUUUUAACUAAUUGCGUAUUAGCUUGCAUAUUACUAGAAUAUUGGCUGUUUAUUAAUAUUUAUUAAGCACAUAUUAAUGCCUUAUUCUGCAUGACCUUAUUCUACAUUCUUUAUCCUACCCAAUACCUAAAGUUAACAACAAACUUACUAAUUAUUAAUAAGCAGUAAAUUAGGAGUUUGUUGAAGGAAAAGUCAUAGUUAAGAGUGAAUAUGUGUUCCCUGUACUAAAGUGUUACCACAUUAGUUAACUACAACAGAUAACAUUAACUAAGAGUUAAAAAUAAUUAUACAGCAUUUGUUAAUCUUAAUGUUAAUUUCAACAUUUACUAAUACAUUAUUAAAAUCAAAUGCUGUAGUUUUUAAACAUUAGUUAAUGCACUAUGAACUAACAUGAACAAACAAUGAACAGCUGUAUUCUUAUUAACGAACAUUAACAAAUAUCAAUAAUACUGUAACUAACAACUGUAUUGUUCACUGUUAGUUCAUGUUAGUUAAUACAUUAGCUAAUGCUAACGAAUGCUACAUUUUUUUAUACUAAUGCUAAACUUUUUAUACUUUUUAUAACCUCUCAAGAUCCAUAAAGGUACUAAAGACAAACUUAAAACAGCUAAUGUGAGUUCAGUGGUUCAACUUUAAUGUUGUGAAGUGACGAUAAUACUUGUGCACCAAAAAACCCCCCAAAAAUAACUACUUUUCAACAAUAUCUUGUAAUGGCCGUUUUCAAAAAACACUGGUUCAUUAAGAUCUGAAGCUUUCGUUUCAAUUCAGUGGUUCGGAUCGCGUAUCAAAUGGCUAAACUGCUGUAAUCACCAGUCCCUCCAUGAUUUUGCGAUUCUGCGAUCACUGAAUUUAUCGCAAAAUCAAGUAAACUUCACAUUUUUCGCAAAAGCUCGCAAUUUUUUGUAAUUGCCGCAGAUUUUCCACAGAUUUUUGAGCUUCACAAAAAUUUGCGAGCUUUUGCGAAAAAUACGGAGUUUACUUGAUUUUGCGAUAAAUUCAGUGAUCGCAGAAUCCGUGACGUCAUCCCAAUGCACAUUCAGUCAAAGAAAGGUUGUUUCUUAGUUCCAAAAAUGGAAUGAACAGCCUUGCGUUCUCAUCAUGACUGAUUUACAAGAGCUACAUUGGAUAAACGAACCGAAAGCGGAACAAAUCAGCACUACUAGUUUGGGCUACACAGCGCAGACCAUUUAUCUGCUCGAGCCGGAGCUGCGGGCUGAUCUCGAUCACGCAACACUGAUAUACACAGUGCUGGGAGAUACAGUAAAGAAAGCAGUCAAAUUCACCACAGAAUCAACAUCUCUGUGAAAUCUUGUGAGAAGCAUUCAAAUUCAGGGCAGAAUUCUGUUAAAGCUGAUGUCAGAACAAAUGCCACUGAUGUGGAAACCAUGAAAAACUUGUAUUUAUUUGUACAAAUUUGUAUUUAUUCAAUUAUAUUUAGACAUUAUGAAUAACAGUAAUAAAAUUAAAUUUUAUUAGAUGUAAUAUAUUUAUUACAUCUGUAAGAC
Long non-coding RNA from Cyprinus carpio carpio, 3084 nucleotides. The record is from Ensembl. NCBI's taxonomy places the organism in Eukaryota, Metazoa, Chordata, Actinopteri, Cypriniformes, Cyprinidae.